Molecule: ribosomal RNA, 492 nt
Filed under: uncultured bacterium
Lineage: Bacteria
Description: partial 16S ribosomal RNA
Rfam family: Bacterial small subunit ribosomal RNA
Source: RNAcentral
AGUGAACGCUGGCGGUAGGCCUAACACAUGCAAGUCGAACGGCAGCACAGCAAGAGCUUGCUCUUACGGGUGGCGAGUGGCGGACGGGUGAGGAAUACAUCGGAAUCUACUUUUUCGUGGGGGAUAACGUAGGGAAACUUACGCUCAUACCGCAUACGACCUACGGGUGAAAGCAGGGGAUCUUCGGACCUUGCGCGAUUGAAUGAGCCGAUGUCGGAUUAGCUAGUUGGCGGGGUAAAGGCCCACCAAGGCGACGAUCCGUAGCUGGUCUGAGAGGAUGAUCAGCCACACUGGAACUGAGACACGGUCCAGACUCCUACGGGAGGCAGCAGUGGGGAAUAUUGGACAAUGGGCGCAAGCCUGAUCCAGCCAUACCGCGUGGGUGAAGAAGGCCUUCGGGUUGUAAAGCCCUUUUGUUGGGAAAGAAAAGCAGCAGGUUAAUACCCCGCUGUUCUGACGGUACCCAAAGAAUAAGCACCGGCUAACUUCGUG